GAGACACCCUUCUGGGGCAAGAAUUGAUUCAGUGGGGCUUUGGUGCUCACUGAGUCUGCCCCCUGAGUGUGUCCAU
Molecule: microRNA precursor, 76 nt
Filed under: Myotis lucifugus (little brown bat)
Lineage: Eukaryota; Metazoa; Chordata; Mammalia; Chiroptera; Vespertilionidae
Description: mir-9229 microRNA precursor family
Rfam family: mir-9229 microRNA precursor family
Source: Rfam by way of RNAcentral